ACGCAAUAGAUACCCGGGUAGUCCACGCCCUAAACGAUGUCUACUAGUUGUCGGGUCUUAAUUGACUUGGUAAACGCAGCUAAACGCGUGAAGUAGACCGCCUGGGGAGUACGGUCGCAAGAUUAAAACUCAAAGGAAUUGACGGGGACCCGCACAAGCGGUGGAUGAUGUGGAUUAAUUCGAUGCAACGCGAAAAACCUUACCUACCCUUGACAUGGAUGGAAUCCCUGAGAGAUUGGGGAGUGCUCGAAAGAGAACCAUUACACAGGUGCUGCAUGGCUGUCGUCAGCUCGUGUCGUGAGAUGUUGGGUUAAGUCCCGCAACGAGCGCAACCCUUGUCAUUAGUUGCUACGAAAGGGCACUCUAAUGAGACUGCCGGUGACAAACCGGAGGAAGGUGGGGAUGACGUCAAGUCCUCAUGGCCCUUAUGGGUAGGGCUUCACACGUCAUACAAUGGUACAUACAGAGGGCCGCCAACCCGGCGAGGGGUAGCUAAUCCCAGAAAGUGUAUCGUAGUCCGGAUUGUAGUCUGCAACUCG
This 539-nucleotide ribosomal RNA is filed under the name uncultured bacterium. RNAcentral's name for it is "bacterial SSU rRNA". It matches the Rfam family "Bacterial small subunit ribosomal RNA", at positions 773 to 1314 of the family's 1533-position model. The record is from RNAcentral.